Molecule: ribosomal RNA, 372 nt
Filed under: uncultured bacterium
Lineage: Bacteria
Description: bacterial SSU rRNA
Rfam family: Bacterial small subunit ribosomal RNA
Source: RNAcentral
UACGAAGGAUCCAAGCGUUGUCCGGAUUUACUGGGUUUAAAGGGUGCGUAGGCGGGGAAUUAAGUCAGUGGUGAAAGCUGGUAGCUCAACUAUCAAAUUGCCAUUGAAACUGAUUCUCUCGAGUACGGUUGAGGUAGCUGGAAUGUAACAUGUAGCGGUGAAAUGCUUAGAUAUGUUACAGAACACCGAUUGCGAAGGCAGGCUACUAAACCGUAACUGACGCUGAGGCACGAAAGCGUGGGGAUCAAACAGGAUUAGAUACCCUGGUAGUCCACGCUGUAAACGUUGCAUACUCGGUCUUAGCGAUAUACAGUUAGGACCUAAGCGAAAGCAUUAAGUAUGCCACCUGGGGAGUACGGUCGCAAGAUUGAA